UACGGAGGGUGCAAGCGUUAUCCGGAUUCACUGGGUUUAAAGGGUGCGUAGGUGGGUCUGUAAGUCAGUGGUGAAAUCUUCGAGCUUAACUCGGAAACUGCCAUUGAUACUAUAGAUCUUGAAUUUUCUGGAGGUAAGCGGAAUAUGUCAUGUAGCGGUGAAAUGCUUAGAUAUGACAUAGAACACCAAUUGCGAAGGCAGCUUACUACGGGAACAUUGACACUGAGGCACGAAAGCGUGGGGAUCGAACGGG
Molecule: ribosomal RNA, 253 nt
Filed under: uncultured bacterium
Lineage: Bacteria
Description: partial 16S ribosomal RNA
Rfam family: Bacterial small subunit ribosomal RNA
Source: RNAcentral